Molecule: ribosomal RNA, 376 nt
Filed under: uncultured Vexilliferidae
Lineage: Eukaryota; Discosea; Flabellinia; Dactylopodida; Vexilliferidae
Description: partial Bacterial small subunit ribosomal RNA
Rfam family: Bacterial small subunit ribosomal RNA
Source: RNAcentral
CAGCCGCGGUAAUACGGAGGGGGCUAGCGUUGUUCGGAAUUACUGGGCGUAAAGCGCUCGUAGGCGGAUUGGUCAGUCAGAGGUGAAAGCCCAGGGCUCAACCUUGGAAUUGCCUUUGAUACUGCCAGUCUUGAGUUCGGGAGAGGUGAGCGGAAUUCCGAGUGUAGAGGUGAAAUUCGUAGAUAUUCGGUGGAACACCAGUGGCGAAGGCGGCUAACUGGACUGGUACUGACGCUGAGGUGCGAAAGUGUGGGGAGCAAACAGGAUUAGAUACCCUGGUAGUCCACGCCGUAAACGAUGAGUGCUAGUUGUCGGGACUUCGGUUUCGGUGACGCAGCUAACGCAUUAAGCACUCCGCCUGGGGAGUACGGUCGCA